GACGAACGCUGGCGGCGUGCCUAAUACAUGCAAGUCGAGCGGAUUUCGUUGAAAGCUUGCUUUCAACGGGGUUAGCGGCGGACGGGUGAGUAACACGUAGGCAACCUGCCUUCAAGGCUGGGAUAACAUCCGGAAACGGAUGCUAAUACCGGAUACACCAUUUGGCUGCAUGGCGAAAUGGGGAAAGGCGGAGCAAUCUGCCACUUGGAGAUGGGCCUGCGGCGCAUUAGCUAGUUGGUGGGGUAACGGCUCACCAAGGCGACGAUGCGUAGCCGACCUGAGAGGGUGAUCGGCCACACUGGGACUGAGACACGGCCCAGACACCUACGGGUGGCUG
This 337-nucleotide ribosomal RNA is filed under the name uncultured Bacillota bacterium. Its description in RNAcentral is "bacterial SSU rRNA". It matches the Rfam family "Bacterial small subunit ribosomal RNA", at positions 28 to 351 of the family's 1533-position model. The record is from RNAcentral. Lineage: Bacteria; Bacillati; Bacillota.